GAUCAUGGCUCAGGAUGAACGCUAGCUACAGGCUUAACACAUGCAAGUCGAGGGGCAGCAUGACCUAGCAAUAGGUUGAUGGCGACCGGCGCACGGGUGAGUAACACGUAUCCAAUCUACCGGUUAUUCCGGGAUAGCCUUUCGAAAGAAAGAUUAAUACCGGAUAGUAUAACGAGAAGGCAUCUUUUUGUUUAUUUAAAGAAAUUUCGUAUAACCGAUGGGGAGUGCGUUCCAUUAGUUUGUUGGCGGGGUAACGGGCCC
Molecule: ribosomal RNA, 261 nt
Filed under: uncultured bacterium
Lineage: Bacteria
Description: partial 16S ribosomal RNA
Rfam family: Bacterial small subunit ribosomal RNA
Source: RNAcentral